AGAAGAAGAAGAAGAAGAAGAAACCGGGCUAAUCGGUGCUUCCUCCUCAGGCUCCACUUCACUCAGCUGCCCCACAGGUCCGCUGCCUCUCCCGCUUUAACCUCAAUAACAAUCCGGAGCUAGCUGGGCGUGACCGGAGGGAAGCACAGCCAGUUAGCCUCCGCUAGCUUCCCAACUAGCCCCGGCUCUCUGUUUGGAUCCAACCGGAGCACCGAGCCCUGGUUUGUUAUUCAGGUUAAUGUGGGAAGAAGCAGCGGGUUUAUCGGGCAGCUGAGUGAAGCUGGGUGAAGUGGAGGCUGCGGAGGAAACACCGGGAUGGGUUAAUAUCUGGAGCUUGAGUUAUUAGCGGCUCGGUCCCAGCAGUGGGUCAGGCGUUACGGUUGUGUUAAGUGAGUAAGUUAGUCCGGCAGCCCAGCUAACAUUUUCAAUUAGCAUUGUAAAAUGUAGCCUCCUCGCGAGGCUACAUUUUUGUAAUAUAUUUGCUGAGAUGGAGGCGAGGCUCAGUGACUAGAGGAGCUGGUAGAAGCGCUCCAUAGCUGUAAGUUACUCUAGUAGCCGGUGGCAGCCGACUCGGCUAGUGCUAACACCGGGAGCUAACGCUAACGUUCUUCCUCUUCUCCGUGAGUGAGAGCGAUGUUUUAACCUAGCGGGCAGCUGGCUCGCGGGCUGCCCACUAGGCUAAAACAUCGCUUCAGGUUAAAGUGGGAAGAAGCAGCGGGUUUAUCGGGCAGCUGAGUAAAGCUGGGUGAAGUGGAGGCUGCAGAGGAAACACCGGGAUGGGUUAAUGUCAGGAGCUUGAGCAGCCCGACAGGCUGAACAUCGCUAACUGCUAGAUGAGGGGUGGGGGUGGGGGUGGUGGAGAGCAGAGCAGAGGUAGAGGGAGUAUGGCAAGCCGUUUUAACAUUUAAUCGCUAAGUCUGACUAUCCGGAAUUACCAUUAUAGAUAUCUAUAACGUCAUUUUGACUAGUAGUAAUGUCAUUGUGACUAGUAUAAAUUUUAAUUUAAGAUAUCUGUAACGUCAUUGUGACUAGUAUAAAUUUUAAUUUAAGAUAUCUGUAACGUCAUUUUGACUAGUCAAAACUGAAUUACAGAUAUCUGUAAUUCAGUUUUGACUAGGCAAAAUCUAAUUACAGAUAUCAGCAAUGAUGUCACUCAAAACGAUAGUCAACUCGUCACACAUCGUAAAUGACAAUUGUAGAUAUCUGUAAUGCAGUUUUGACUAGUCAAAAUAAUAGUUGGAGAUAUCUCAAACGUCAACACUUGACGUUCCUCAUGCGAGGCUUGCCAUUGGCUUCCCAUUUUUAAACCAGAUUUUAAGACUUAGAGGCAAUGGCUGUUGCAGUUGUGGACAAGAUAGUUAGAAAAUGCCAUGAAAUUGAAAGAGCUUAUCAUCAAGGGAUUUGUGGCGAACGAGAGCUUCGUUCACUCGACAGUUGUAAUAUAAAUUUACAGCGUAUUGCAAUUGUUUUGUCUCCACACACGCUUGAGGAGCUACGACGAAGUCUGGAUGGUGUCAGAACACGGAUAACGCGUGCUGGAGUAGCAGCAGAAUAUGUCGGGUUUUCGGCCCAUCGCAUUAAUUCAGGACGGCGAGGGCGACCAGCCAUUCAUGUCACCAGGGACCAAAUUGACUUCCUCAUGAAGCAAGGCAACACAGUGAAACGAAUUGCCAAAAUUUUGGGAUGCUCCUCAUCAUUUCUUUACAAGAGGACAAAAUUGCUUGGGAUACCAGUGAGGAGAAGAUUUUCUGUGAUAGAUGAUGAAGAACUUGAACGUCACGUAAGAUCGACUUCAGGGCCUGUAUCCAAACUCUGGAUAUGAGAUUACUACAAUUUCAGAUGAUGAGAGGCUUGCUACGUGCAGAUGGAUUGCUGCUUCCACGACGAAGGGUGCGUGAGAUGUUGGCCCACAUAAACCCAGCAGCUGCUACUCGGAGGUGGAGCAGCACUGUGGCAAGACGGGUGUAUCAUGCACCUUACCCCAAUAGCCUGUGGCAUAUAGAUAGGAACAUAUGCCUCAUAAGAUGGGGCUUUGCAGUUCAUGGACACUCUCGGCUGAUCACUUAUCUGAACUGCAACACAAACAACCGUGCCACCACUGUACUGUCUCAGUUUCUUAAAGCCACAUGCCAUUAUGGACUACCCUCUAGAGUAUGAUCGGAUUAUGGUGGUGAGAACCUGCAGGUGGCUUUAUUCAUGAACCUUGUGCGGGGCAUCGAGCGCCGGAGUUUCAUCACUGGAGAAUCAAUCCACAACCAGAGAAUUGAGCGUCUUUGGAGGGAUGUGUUUUUGCAUGUGUUGCAGUCUUUUUACAGUACAUUCUACUCUCUUGAAGACUCACAUCUUCUGGAUCCCAGUAAUGACAUUCACAAGCUUUCACUCAGCAUGGUUUUUCUUCCUGAGAUUCAAAAAAGUCUGGAGCGCUUUAGGGAGGCCUGGAACAACCAUGCUUUGCGCACGGAAAACAACCGAACACCAUCUCAAAUAUGGACGGAAGGCAUGCUCUCAAAUAUGGCAAGAGACAGUGCAGCGACCAACAGUGUGUUCGGGGAAAAUCCCUACAGCCCACACCAUUUGGAGGCAGUUCUGGCACAGCAUGGAAUUGACUCUUUACCUGCUACUGAUGAUGAUCUUCCAGCUGUAAUUGUAGAGCAGUCUCGAAUCAAUCUCAGUCAGCAGCAACAGGAGUCAAUCUCUCAUGCCAUUGAUCACAUUUCUGAUUUGAAGAUGAAGUACCUGACAUGCUGUGCAGAAAUUUCAAAUGUUAUGGCAACCUAAGACUUUUAACUCAUUUUUCAAAUGGGGAUGCCAUAUAACAUGUCUGAUGUCCUCUGUGACAGUAAACUGAAUAUCUUUGGUUUGUGGACAAAACAAGACAUUUGAGGACACCAUCUUGAGCUUUGAGAAACAUCAUUUUUCAACAUUGUAUAGAACAAAUGCAAUGGUCUAGGUCACAUAUGUCAAACUCAAGGCCCACAGGCCGAAUACUGGUCGCCACGUCAUUUUAUGUGGCCCCCAGAGCUUAUGUAAGCUGUAUAUGAUUGUCUUAAAAUAAAAGUCUAUGCUGCUUUAAAGCAUACAUUGACCAUAAAGUUGUUAUUUUGAGUUAAUUACAUACAAUAUACUACUUUUUAUGUGUAGCAGUGUAUUCAGUUUGUUUACAGGUGUAUGUGUUCCAUGCAGCCAAAUGUUUCAAACCAUCUCUCAUUAGUUGGAUGCAGGGUUCAAAAUUAACACCCCCCAAGCGCCAAAAGUGGGUCAGUUUUCUGUUUGGCGAAUAAAUCAAUUUAAAAACUC
Epinephelus fuscoguttatus (brown-marbled grouper) is the source of this 3297-nucleotide long non-coding RNA. RefSeq lists it as uncharacterized. The record is from RefSeq and is a predicted model, not a curated record. The transcript has 4 exons. NCBI's taxonomy places the organism in Eukaryota, Metazoa, Chordata, Actinopteri, Perciformes, Serranidae.